CGAAGCAGUCAUAAGUUUUCAAUAACUGCUGAAGUGAGCGCGGGAUGUCUUCAGCAUUCUUAUAAAUAUCCAAGAGGCAGUCUAUCAAUGUAAAUCUUUGAAGAUUAUAUUGGGGACAGUCAAAGAAAAUAUGAUUAAGAGUUUGGAUGGAUAAAUUACAGAAUUGACAAGUUGGAGAAUCUAAAACACCGAUCCUAAAUAAAUGAGCACCACUACGAGAAUGUCCCAGACGUAACCGACAAAUUGUGGUGUAAAAUUUUCUGUGGACAUUUAAGGAUAGAAGAAUGGAUGAUAAUUGUUCUAAAUCAACAUUAUUAAAUGCUCCUACAACAUCCAAAAAAACACCAGCCAAUAUCUUAUUGUCAAUCUGGGCACUAUGGAUGUCAAGACAUAAAUGUCUUAUACUCUCACAAGCAGAACGACCACAUCGAAAUCCAAAUUGAUUAUUAGAUUACUGUGUGGAGGAAUGUUGGAUGGAAUUGAAGAAGAUUCAGUUUCCGACACUACCAUGGAAAAUUUUGUGAUUGUAGGCAAGUGAUAGCUGCCCAAAGAGUCCUGAUGAACUUGCCAUUCACA
Leptidea sinapis is the source of this 576-nucleotide long non-coding RNA. RefSeq lists it as uncharacterized. The transcript is spliced from 3 exons. The record is from RefSeq and is a predicted model, not a curated record. Lineage: Eukaryota; Metazoa; Arthropoda; Insecta; Lepidoptera; Pieridae.